AUAUUUUAUGCAAAGAAAUGGUUGGCAAGUUAGAGAAUAAGGUUCUUAUUAGGGAAUACAAUGAAGACACAGAUAUUAAAGUGGUGGGGAGGCUUGAGAAGAAUUGUGAGAUAGGGUCUAAUAAGGAGGUCUCCAUUUUCACCAGCAUGAUGGUUGACCCCUUAUGUAGGAUUAGGUUCUAUCCUGUUCAUGUUAUGCUGGUGGGUGAGGGAGUUUCUGUUUCUCUUAACCUUUUUAGCAUUUCCAAAUUCAAAUAUGGAAACUUAAUAACUUUAUGUAUAUAUAUUUUGCAGUUGCAAUUACA
This 304-nucleotide unclassified non-coding RNA is filed under the name Hevea brasiliensis (rubber tree). The record is from RNAcentral. Lineage: Eukaryota; Viridiplantae; Streptophyta; Magnoliopsida; Malpighiales; Euphorbiaceae.